GUGCUCACUUUAGCACCACAUAUACUAAGAUUAUAAUGAUAGAUUAGUAAGGCCCUUGGGCAAGAAUGACAUGCAAAUUUGUGAAACAUUCCAUAUUUUA
Small nuclear RNA from Mustela putorius furo (domestic ferret), 100 nucleotides. The record is from Ensembl. NCBI's taxonomy places the organism in Eukaryota, Metazoa, Chordata, Mammalia, Carnivora, Mustelidae.